AGGAAUAUAACAAUAGUUAAUCGCUGUGUUAUUUGUGUCGCCGUGGUUGCGAUACAAAUUCCGAACAAAACUAACAAAACAUCCCAUGUUAAUGGUGUUUCUUGUCCGUAAGUUCAUCUAUAACAAAAAUGCAACGGACUGCUCACGGUUUUUUUU
This 156-nucleotide non-coding RNA is filed under the name Nyleta sp. ZL-2020. Lineage: Eukaryota; Metazoa; Arthropoda; Insecta; Hymenoptera; Scelionidae. The record is from RNAcentral.